This is a long non-coding RNA of Pomacea canaliculata, 508 nucleotides long. RefSeq lists it as uncharacterized. NCBI's taxonomy places the organism in Eukaryota, Metazoa, Mollusca, Gastropoda, Architaenioglossa, Ampullariidae. The transcript has 3 exons. The record is from RefSeq and is a predicted model, not a curated record.
CAAAAUGUCAGCCGCACGCGGUGCGUGGAGUUUGGAGUCAGGAGUUGACAUCACUUAUUUACAACAACACAGUUUGUCGAGUGACUCAGUAGCCGCAGGCACAAGUCUCAAUCGUCCAUCGAGGGUUGGACAUAAAAUCGAACCAACUCAUGGUGAAGGCCAUUCCGGUAGCUUGAUCGUUGGUGACGCACUCGGUGCUAACUCCUCUUGCUGCUGUGCGUGCGGUGCGGUGCGUCACAGUCCGACAGGUGGGAGCGACAAGUGUAAGAGGCAUCGGGUUGCGACAACUGACUGGCUGUGACGCACAGCGAAAUUAAUAUUUCAGGGAGGCAGCUGACCGUGUCCGCCUUUCAGGCCACUGUUCGCCGACUACAGAUGAUGGACUAUAAUUACCUCUGCUGCUGCAUUUGCUGAUGGUAACUGGAAUCCUCACAUAUUUUGCAGUCACAGACUGUGAGCAACUGUGACAACAUGUUGUGCUGCAAAGACCCCUUCAUCGCCAGGAACA